GCAACCCCUGUGAACAGUUGCCACCCUCGCAAGAGGAGCACUCUGUUCAGACUGCCCUGUGAAACGGGGAGGAAGGUGGGGAUGACGUCAAGUCAGGAUGGCCCUUACGGCCAGGGCUGCACGCGUACUACAAUGCUCAGUACAGAAUGAACCGAUACCGCAAGGUGGAGGAAAUCCCUAAAACUGAGCCCAAUUCGGAUCGGAGUCUGCAACUCGACUCCGUGAAGCCGGAAUCGCUAGUAAUGGCGUAUCAGCUACGACGCCGUGAAUACGUUCCCGGGCCUUGUACACACCGCCCGUCACAUCAUGGAAGUCGUUUGUACCCGAAGUGCGUGCGCCAACCUGCAAAGGAGGCAGCGCCCUAAGGUGUGAGCGGUAACUGGGAUGAAGUCGUAACAAGGUAACC
Molecule: ribosomal RNA, 406 nt
Filed under: uncultured bacterium
Lineage: Bacteria
Description: bacterial SSU rRNA
Rfam family: Bacterial small subunit ribosomal RNA
Source: RNAcentral